Molecule: ribosomal RNA, 254 nt
Filed under: uncultured bacterium
Lineage: Bacteria
Description: partial 16S ribosomal RNA
Rfam family: Bacterial small subunit ribosomal RNA
Source: RNAcentral
UACGGGGGGGGCAAGCGUUGUUCGGAAUUACUGGGCGUAAAGGGCUCGUAGGCGGCCAACUAAGUCAGACGUGAAAUCCCUCGGCUUAACCGGGGAACUGCGUCUGAUACUGGAUGGCUCGAGUUUGGGAGAGGGAUGCGGAAUUCCAGGUGUAGCGGUGAAAUGCGUAGAUAUCUGGAGGAACACCGGUGGCGAAGGCGGCAUCCUGGACCAACACUGACGCUGAGUGAGCGAAAGCCAGGGGAGCAAACGGG